Molecule: ribosomal RNA, 597 nt
Filed under: Triticum aestivum (bread wheat)
Lineage: Eukaryota; Viridiplantae; Streptophyta; Magnoliopsida; Poales; Poaceae
Description: partial small subunit ribosomal RNA
Source: RNAcentral
AUGGUAGGCACAAAGCUAGUAGCCCUCGGCUAUGUUGUCCUCUUGAGCAUUGGACUGGCCAAUGCUGCAAGGGUGGUUAGAUUCGGCAGUGGAAGCGCCACGGGAACGGGAGCGGGAGGAGGAGAGGGUGGGGGAACUGUGAGUGGUGGUGGCUCGGGUGCUGGGAGUGGAACUGGGUCUGGCGUGAGUUCUAAUAGUGGUAGCCAUGCAAGCGGUGGAGGUGGAGGUGGCGGUGGAGGCGGCGGCCAAAAUGGUGGAACUGGAUAUGGUAGCGGGUCCGGCUCUGGCUCCGGUUCUAGUCAAUAUAGUCAAGGAUCUUCAUAUCCUUAUGGUGGUGGCUAUGGUGGAUAUACUAGCGCUGGCGGUGCCGGUGGCGGUGGUGGUGGAGGGCAAGCUAGUGGUUAUCAAGGAUCUAGUGGGUAUGGGGCUGGUAGUGGCACUGGUUCCGGCUCAGCUACUGCUACUAACAAUUGGUAUAGACAAGGUAGUACAAAUGCAGAUGCUGGUGGAAACGGUGGUGGUAAUGGCGGAGGAAGAAAUGGUGGGCAUGGUGCAGGCAAAGGUGCUGGAUCUGGGCAUGGCAAUGCCUACCCCUAG